UCAGAUGUUUGAUACACUGUAAAAAGUGAACAUGGGUCUAAGUUGGAUUACUAGAACUAUUUGAGUCUAUUUACUUCGUAUUUCUGCUUUCCUAAUCGUAAUUGAUUAUUGUACACUCAUUCAACUUGAGCGCAUAGAAAUUCACAGACACUCAAAUAUUUCACUUUCACCCAAAGUAUAAUUUCCCUUUAAAAGGAUCUCCGCGCCAGACGUUUUUUUCUGACGUCAUGACGCACGAGCCUGAUUUCAACUUCUGUUGCUCAACUGACAACCGCCAUUUUUUCUCUCCGCACUCGGAUGAAAAAGAAUCAAAAGCUUUUUAAAUAUUUGACGACUGAGGAGGACACUUUGCUAUAACGUUAAGGUACAUGGAUCGUGUCGAGCCCUUUGAAGCUCCACUGAAACUGCAAUUUGGACCUUCAACCUGUUGACUGAAAACAUUCACGUGAAAAGAGUGUGUCCUGAAGGCCCUCAUCGUUUUCCUGGGGAAAUCCUCAAGAUCUUAUCAAGGAGUACCUUGAGAACCAGCAAGAUGAUUGCGAGGGUGAGCUGGAGCAGUUCACCAUGGCAGUGUAUGUUAUUCGGAAGGAGGGGGGACAUCACAAACCACCGGCUGACAUAGGUGUCGUCAUCAAGGCUGUCAAAGUUCUGAAUGAGCUGCCUUCAUUCACAUCAGCUUGUGCCUUGCUUCUCGGGAUGAUAUACAUCAACAAUCUGGCUUAUCCAAAACCACUUCGGUUUACAUUCGAGGUAUUCCAGAAAGUUCUCUUGCAGCUCGAUCAGCACAAGAUGUCACCAAAAGUUCAAAGUCUUUUCAGGAGACUACAGUGUACUUGCAGUAAUGUUUGAAUGUGCAUGUGUUUGAAAGAAUGUCUCUGUUUUAGUUGGAUGUUUCAUGUGUUCUUAUUGUAAGACUAUCCAUUUGUUCAGUCAUAUGUCUAGUGUGUAGUUGAUUGGUUCCCUUUACAUU
This is a long non-coding RNA of Cyprinus carpio (common carp), 970 nucleotides long. RefSeq lists it as uncharacterized. The transcript has 5 exons. NCBI's taxonomy places the organism in Eukaryota, Metazoa, Chordata, Actinopteri, Cypriniformes, Cyprinidae. The record is from RefSeq and is a predicted model, not a curated record.